This is a long non-coding RNA of Trichoplusia ni (cabbage looper), 1020 nucleotides long. RefSeq lists it as uncharacterized. The record is from RefSeq and is a predicted model, not a curated record. Lineage: Eukaryota; Metazoa; Arthropoda; Insecta; Lepidoptera; Noctuidae. The transcript has 2 exons.
ACAAUACAUAAUUUUUAAUGUAUCAUGAAACAUUUAUUUUUACCUUAAUGUCAUGGUAUUUAAUGAACUUAAAAAGUGUAAAAUUUCAAUUUCAUAAAUCUAGUAUGCUGUAUUAAAGUUAAGACCUGAGUUAUCUUAGUUUAAUAUGAAAUAUAUAGACCACUGAUUAAAAAUACUGAAACUAACAAACGCCGCAACUAUCACCUUCCCAAGCUCCCAACAUUUGAUGUCGAGCCUUGAAGAAUUUUGUUUAACUUCGCAUAAAAUUUCAGUUCUUUUGAUUCAUAUCCUAAAAUUUUGCUGUAUCCAAAAAUAAGUUCUGCUGGUUAAAGCUAAUUAAAUAAAUGGGUACAUAAAGUAAAAUUAAAUAAAUUAAAUGGGAACUAUGGUAAUGAAAGAAGUUCUAAUCGUAUUAUUUAAUGGAUAUUAAGUAUUAUUAGAAAGUUUACGUGAUUUCUAAGUCACGGGUUUCAUUCAAGUAAGGUACGUAAUUGACUCAAUACCUAUAUUUGUGUGUAUAUGGUAAUACGUUGUAACGUAAAUCAUAAACGCAUGGACCUGUUUAUCUAAUCGCAAAGAGAAGCUUAAUUGGUUCGUUUGAAUCACGCCACUAUGAAUGACGAAUACAAAACGAUUUCGUUAGUGUGUGGACUUUGGCUCAAUUGGCUGCAUAAUUAGUAGGAGAGCUGAGACGACCGCGGGUUACAGAAGUUAUCUUAAUUAUCUUCCGAUUUACAGUUCGAUGACAUCUGGGAGGAAAGCCAUGUGUUCUCAGAUAUAAGGAAGAAAUUUGUAUUUUUACAUAUCUGCGGUGGAAAACUAAAAAAAAAACACUUUGCUGUUCGCCUCAGCGCAGCCCAAGCUUGACCGGGCUGAGAGAUGGACAGAAUAAGCUUACCGGAUGCGUGUUUAUCUAUUGAGACCAGUCAAGUGUUGCGCAGCGCCGCGCCGUGAUCUUGAACUCUACAACCUACUACUUUGGAAUUUUUCGAAUAAAUAAAUUUGUUUAAUUUUACGUAC